UACGUAGGGUGCAAGCGUUGUCCGGAAUUAUUGGGCGUAAAGAGCUCGUAGGCGGUCUGUCACGUCGGCUGUGAAAACCCGGGGCUCAACCCCGGGCCUGCGGUCGAUACGGGCAGACUAGAGUGCGGUAGGGGAGACUGGAAUUCCUGGUGUAGCGGUGAAAUGCGCAGAUAUCAGGAGGAACACCGAUGGCGAAGGCAGGUCUCUGGGCUGUAACUGACGCUGAGGAGCGAAAGCAUGGGGAGCGAACAGG
This 253-nucleotide ribosomal RNA is filed under the name uncultured bacterium. Its description in RNAcentral is "partial 16S ribosomal RNA". It matches the Rfam family "Bacterial small subunit ribosomal RNA", at positions 524 to 776 of the family's 1533-position model. The record is from RNAcentral.